Bactrocera tryoni is the source of this 1396-nucleotide long non-coding RNA. RefSeq lists it as uncharacterized. The transcript is spliced from 3 exons. The record is from RefSeq and is a predicted model, not a curated record. Lineage: Eukaryota; Metazoa; Arthropoda; Insecta; Diptera; Tephritidae.
CAGUGUCAGUUCGUUUGCGAAUUAUGUGAAAAGCGAAUUCGGACGCAACGUUAUAUUCGAAAAUCGAAAAAAGGCGCAAAAAGUCAAAACGAAACGGAAAAGCGUCAACGAACCGGUGUGCAAGUCGUAAUGUGCGAAAGGCUACAAAUAAAUUAAUUAUAUUUCGGUGAUUCGUGUUUUAUUGCUCGCAUUGCCUGUGGUUUUAUAGCGCUGUGACAUUUGGUACAUACUCGUAUAUAAGAGAAAAUCGUAAAAAUAAAACGAAAUUGAGAUAUGUGGUGCACCGCCGUAAGCGGGCCUCGUUAGUGUUUGUUGUAAUGAGUGUUUAUAUAAAUUUCGUGUUAAAUGAGAAAAGACCAUGUUGGUGACCAACUAUGGCAAUUAAUCUGCUCCUAAGUCAACGAUAAAUCAAACAGUCAGACAGUCGGAAUAAACUUACUUGUAGUACAUAAUGCUCGAAAGCUGAUCAUGAAUUAUCAAGCUCCUGAUACCGAGUAUGCGGAUCUGAGUGACUAUUGUUGACUUUUUGCCGAAAAUAGCGAUUAAUCUCCACAAAGUAUUAAUGAAACUUACAGAAAGUCUUUUCCUGCAAAAAUGUGUCCUGGUGCUAAAAAUGAGAAAAAAUCGGUUCAUUGGUUCCUAACGACGUCAUAUACUUAACAUAAGGAUUUUCAAACAACAUGGUUUGAUUCUGACUUUGGUCAAUAUCUAAGAAAUCAUAAUGAAAUGGAGAGAAGACGCUUGUGAUUAAAAUGGAUUAAAUCGGGCCUCAACUGUCAAUCCUAGUCACCUGUAUCCGAGCGCAAUGACAAUGCGGAAAAACCUUCAAGUAGCAUAAGGAGGCAGUAAGGCAAACUGACGCUGCUAGCAAGCAAUUGAAAACUCUACCGACUCACUCUUACAGAUGAGGUUGGAGGGGGCCACUGAGGUGCUUCAGCAAUCAGUACAAAAAAGCAAAAGAAAGCAAAACUGAAUAGAAAUCGUUUAUGCAGCAAGGAACGGGAUUUCCACUUGAAGUACGCUUCCACUGUUCGCCGACAGGUCCUCAAUGGUGAGCGAUUUGUUUACGGCAUAAGUACUGUGACUGAGCGAAGUCUAUCAAUUUACUGGGGUGUUCCAUGAGGAAUACUUAAAAUUCGAAAUUAACAAAAUAUUGUUAUGGCAGGGUCAAACAUAAAAAAUAGCAAAGCUUAUGAAUCACGAAUAAUUACUAAAAUCAAUUUCGCUGGAAAGUUAUGAAUACGAUUGAGUAUUUUUUUAUGGUCCAACACUAAUGAGUAAACUUUACACAAAGUAAUCAGAAAUUGCAUGAACUUAAAAAUACAACAAGCGAUUACUGCUAAAAAUUUAUGAAAUUUACAACUUUAAAAUGUGAAAGCUACACAAGCAAAUAAAG